This is a long non-coding RNA of Acipenser ruthenus (sterlet), 1892 nucleotides long. RefSeq lists it as uncharacterized. NCBI's taxonomy places the organism in Eukaryota, Metazoa, Chordata, Actinopteri, Acipenseriformes, Acipenseridae. The transcript is spliced from 3 exons. The record is from RefSeq and is a predicted model, not a curated record.
AGGAACUCUCCCUCUGCUGGCGGAGGUGGGAGUGACUCACAGUCCUCCCACGGAGGUGGAGGUGUAACCAGCAGGAACUCUCCCUCUGCUGGCAGGUACCUGGGCUGUGGAUGUUUGGCCUUCCCCCUUUUGGGCUGUGGACACACUGGCUCCUCCCUCUUGGGCUGUGGACACACUGACUCCUCCCUCUUGGGCUGUGGACACACUGGCUCCCCCCUCUUGGGCUGUGGACGCUCGGCCUCCUCCCUUUUGGGCUGUGGACGCACAGACUCCUCCCUCAUGGGCUGUGGACGCUCAGUGUCCUCCCUCUUGGGCUGUGGACGCUCAGUCUCCUCCCACUUGGGCUGUGGACGCUCAGUCUCCUCCUCCAGGUCUCCCCUCUCAGGUGGUGAUGGGACCAGCAGGCACUCUCCCUCUGCUGGUGGGAAUGGGCAUAGCAGGCACCCCUCUGUCAGGAGAGGGCAGUUGAGUGGAGAAUGCCCCCGCUCACCGCAGAUAGGGCACCAGCAGUCAUGCAUGACCGCCCGGAGGAUGGCAUCCCAGCUGCUCUCCCGCUUGGUGGCCGCGGCUGGUAGCUCCCGCUUCUGGGGUCUCCCCCGGGGUAUCUGGUCCUGGCUCGCUUGGGCAGCCCACUCCUCUCCCUGGUAUUGGGUGGGGCAGAUGGCCACGGUGUGCCCAAACUCCCCACAACCAGGGCACCACUCCUCCACCACAACAACCCCUGGUGGCUGCUGUUGCAGCUGCUUUUGCUGCCUUCUGCCGCUCUUCCUCCUCUCUUCUCUCAUCUUUCUUCCUCCCAUCCUCCUCUUCACACUCCUUUUCUCCCUCCACACAAUUAGAAAAAAAAAAAUGAAAAAGCUGCAGUACCCUCUUCUGCCUGCGUCUAGGAGGCGUUGCGAUCCCACGCAGGACACCACGUGUGACAGGAAUGGACGAGUGGUGACGUCACGGCAGAAGAAGGGACAACAAAAACAAAAGAUGUGAAGCAGGAGGCGAGGCUCCGUGUGGAGGCUGAAGAAGAAAACCCAGCAGUCCUUUGUGAAAGAACCAGACCUGUCCAUCCCUGCUGAACUUGACAUUCAGCAGCAAAAGAAAGAUCUGAGGGGGGAGAUGGUGGUGGAGAUCAGGAGCCAAAUGACCACCCUGUCCAACGAAGUGGUAAGUGGUCUGAAAGCAGAGUGGAGCCAGGGAGAAUCAGGAUGGAACAUCCAGCCAUGUCCACCUCCCUGGCAUGAUGACGCUACUGCACAAUGGCCAGUAAUGCCACACCCUUCACAGAGACAAGACUCUCAGACUGGUUUUAGAGGGACAUUUUAAUCAAUAUGAUGCACAAAGGAGGCCUUUCUGCAGACAUUGUCAACAACCAGGUCAUAUUCAACGCCAUUGCCGACAGAGGGGAAUACAAAAUGAUGUCACCCAGCAGUUGAUGCAACCCAAGAUGACGGCAUGUCUAAUGAAGCCCUGAUUGGAGAAAGCCCAGUUGUUUCUGUGAAGAUGGGAGAAUAGAUUCAAACCUGUCCUUCCACUGCCACUUGAUUUCCAUGACACCUCCUAUCAAGAGCAGACUGAAGUCCAAUUUAAUAUUUCGGACAGUAUAUUGACAGUAAAGUGUUUGGGAAAGUCAGGCCACUUCUAGACAGUGUGUGGCAAGGCUGCCUCCGCCAACAAGCAGAUGCAAAGCUCUCCAUUGAUGAACAAAUGGUUCAGUUAGGCUGCUGUACCUUCAAGCUGUUGUGCCAAACAAGCCAAACCAAACAGGAUUGGAAAUAUUUGUCCUUUCCUCACCAGUUGGUCUUGUAUUAGAUUUUAAGGUGUAUCAAGAAUACUUUCACUGAUACAGGAUUAGGAAUUAGAGCAUCAACAGUCCUGCGUGUGGCUGAACAUGAUCCCAG